This 1856-nucleotide long non-coding RNA is filed under the name Macaca fascicularis (crab-eating macaque). RNAcentral's name for it is "lncRNA (ENSMFAG00000058732.1)". Lineage: Eukaryota; Metazoa; Chordata; Mammalia; Primates; Cercopithecidae. The record is from RNAcentral.
GCAACUUCUGCCUCACAGGUUCAAGCAAUUCUCCUGCCUCAGCCUCCUGAGUAGCUGAGAUUACAGGCACACACCACCACGCCCAGCAAAUUUUUGUGUCCUUAGUAGAGACGGGGUUUCAUCAUGUUGGCCAGGCUGGUCUCGAACUCUUGACCUCAUGAUCUGCCCACCGCAGCCCCCCAAAGUGCUAGGAUUACAGGUGUGAGCCACUGCACCCCGCCCUACUGUUGGCUUUUAACUGAUUAAACAUAAAACUGGAACAGAGGCUGUGGCUCACGCCUGUAAUCUCAGCACUUCAACAGGCCAAGGCGGGAGGAUCACUUGAGCCCAGGAAUUCAAGAGACCAGCCUGGGCAACAUAGAAAGAUUGUCUGUACAGUUUUUUUUCUUUUUUAAUUUAGCUGGGUAUGGUGGUGCUCACCUGUACUCCCAGCUGCCCAGAAGACUGAGGUAGAAUUGCUUGAACCUGUGAGGCAGAGCUUGCAGUGAGCCGAGAUCGUGCCACUGGACUCCAGCCUGGGUGACAGAGCAAGACUCCUUAGAAAAGGAGAGGAGAGGAGGGGAGGGGAGGGGAGAGGAGAGGAGAGGAAGAAAGGAAGGAAGAAAGAAGACAAAAAACUGUGUCUCCGAUGAACUUGUUGAGCCACUGGAUUCAUGAACACUGAUGUAUAUUAUACUUUGGAUUUCCAGACUGAUUGACCCAGGAGCCAUUCCCAACCUGCUUCUGCCUGGUGGCUUUGCAGUAUUGAGGCUGCAAGAGUUAAACACUUGUUUGCCCGUCUUCACAGCUGCUACGCAAGAAUUCUGGCCUGGAAGAUUGAUGUGCAUUUCUGGGAGUGCUUUUGGUUUACUAAUAAGAGAAACACACAAGGCUGGUCCUGCCCUUCCUCCUUAUUUCUCCUCAGAAGCUGAGUACAAUCAUGGUGAUGGAGCGUGAUCCUGUGACCAAAAGGCUACAAGUCUAAGAGAAAAGUUAGGCUUCUAUUAAUCAUCUGUGCCACCCAUGCCAAUGAUGAGGAAAUGUACUCUAACUAUUGACUGAGUUUUCUUUUAUUUACUGUACAACAAAUCAAAAUAGAUACAAGUGCUGACAAAAGAAAGUGCAAUAUUCAAUUCAAGAAACAUUUAUUGGGCAACUGCUAAGUGCAAGACACUGUAUUUAGUGGCAAUGUGGAUAUAAAGACCAACAAGUCACAGUUCCUGUUCCCAAGGAGAUUCUAACCCAAAGAGGAAGAUAGGCCUUAUAGGGUAAAAUGGGAUCACUGUUCACAUCCCCAUCCACCCAUGCCCUCAAAGGCAUCUACCCAGUAACGCCCAGCUGGAUGUGUGACAUACACUGAUGUGGAAUAAAUAUGUGCUGAGUAAGGGAAUGUGAGAUAAAUUCCACUUGCGUGCAUUAAAAAGACUUAAAAUAAGUUUUGAAUGGGAAUUUAAAGGACAGGUAGGAUUUUCACAGGAAGAAAUGGUGGUAGAAAGAAAGGACAGCAUUUUAGACAGAGAGAACAGGAAGCUUAAAAACAUGAAGGCAGUCAUAACAUGUGUAAGGAAAUGGCGAUUGCCCAUAUUCUUUGGGUAAGAAAAGAAUGUGCUACUACAGGUUGAGUAUACCUUAUCUGAAAUGCUUGGGACCAGAAAUGCUCUGGGUUUCAGAAUUUUGUUUGGAUGUUGAAAUACUUGUAGAAUACAUACUAGUUGAACAUCUCUAAUCCAAAAAUCUGAAAUCCAAAAUUCUCCAAGGAGCAUUUCUAUUGAGCAUCAUGUCAACAUCCAGAAAGUUUUGGAUUUUGGAGUAUUUUGGAUUUGAGAUUUUUUGAUUUGGGAAGCUCAAACUCUAUCAGAAAUUUUUUUCUCAACUGG